CACCUCAUAUUAUCUGCCCGCAUAGUGGAUACCCACAGCUAUAGCGGUUCCUGGAAAUGAGGAAGAGUACCCUCACGGCGCGACCAGUCCAUUUCGCUUUACAGGACUUGGCUUGUGGCGUGGGCGUGGUGGGAUGUCUAUGGAUGGCUCGUGUAACCUUUCAAUGUUGCUCGAGUGGUUUUUAUAGCUCCCUACAUUU
Molecule: small nucleolar RNA, 199 nt
Filed under: Colletotrichum higginsianum
Lineage: Eukaryota; Fungi; Ascomycota; Sordariomycetes; Glomerellales; Glomerellaceae
Description: small nucleolar RNA snR43
Source: RNAcentral